UGGGGAAUUUUGGACAAUGGGCGCAAGCCUGAUCCAGCCAUGCCGCGUGCGGGAAGAAGGCCUUCGGGUUGUAAACCGCUUUUGUCAGGGAAGAAACGCUCUGGGCUAAUACCCUGGGGUAAUGACGGUACCUGAAGAAUAAGCACCGGCUAACUACGUGCCAGCAGCCGCGGUAAUACGUAGGGUGCAAGCGUUAAUCGGAAUUACUGGGCGUAAAGCGUGCGCAGGCGGUUAUGCAAGACAGAUGUGAAAUCCCCGGGCUCAACCUGGGAACUGCAUUUGUGACUGUAUAGCUAGAGUACGGUAGAGGGGGAUGGAAUUCCGCGUGUAGCAGUGAAAUGCGUAGAUAUGCGGAGGAACACCGAUGGCGAAGGCAAUCCCCUGGACCUGUACUGACGCUCAUGCACGAAAGCGUGGGGAGCGAAACAGGAUUAGAUACCCCUGUAGUCCCUGAGCGGGCUGGCAAGGCGCAU
Molecule: ribosomal RNA, 473 nt
Filed under: uncultured bacterium
Lineage: Bacteria
Description: bacterial SSU rRNA
Rfam family: Bacterial small subunit ribosomal RNA
Source: RNAcentral